This 432-nucleotide ribosomal RNA is filed under the name uncultured bacterium. RNAcentral's name for it is "partial 16S ribosomal RNA". It matches the Rfam family "Bacterial small subunit ribosomal RNA", at positions 29 to 507 of the family's 1533-position model. The record is from RNAcentral.
ACGAACGCUGGCGGCAUGCCUAACACGUGCAAGUCGAACGAGACCUUCGGGUCUAGUGGCGCACGGGUGCGUAACGCGUGGGAACCUGCCCCUAGGUUCGGAAUAACUCCCCGAAAGGGGUGCUAAUACCGGAUAAUGUCUUCGGACCAAAGAUUUAUCGCCUUUGGAUGGGCCCGCGUUGGAUUAGCUAGUUGGUAGGGUAAAAGCCUACCAAGGCGACGAUCCAUAGCUGGUCUGAGAGGAUGAUCAGCCACACUGGGACUGAGACACGGCCCAGACUCCUACGGGAGGCAGCAGUGGGGAAUAUUGGACAAUGGGCGAAAGCCUGAUCCAGCAAUGCCGCGUGAGUGAUGAAGGCCUUAGGGUUGUAAAGCUCUUUUACCCGGGAUGAUAAUGACAGUACCGGGAGAAUAAGCUCCGGCUAACUCCGUG